AUAGCAGCGGAGAAAUAAUCAAUGUGAAACUGUGAAUAGCUCAUUAAAUCAAUUAUAGUUUGUUUGAUGGUAUGUGCUACUCGGAUAACCAUAGUAAUUCUAGAGCUAAUACGUGCAACAAACCCCGACUUUUAGGAGGGGCACAUUUAUUAGAUAAAAGGCUAACACUGGCUCUACUCGCUGAUCUGAUGAUUCAUGAUAACUUGACGGAGGGCACUGCCCUCGUGUCGGCGACGCAUCAUUCAAAUUUCUGCCCUAUUUAUAUCUUAGGAUUAAGAUGAUAUUAGCCCUAGGUUGUAAGGUUUAUUGGACUUGUUUUGUG
Molecule: non-coding RNA, 322 nt
Filed under: Sorghum bicolor (sorghum)
Lineage: Eukaryota; Viridiplantae; Streptophyta; Magnoliopsida; Poales; Poaceae
Description: rRNA SSU_rRNA_eukarya
Rfam family: Eukaryotic small subunit ribosomal RNA
Source: Rfam by way of RNAcentral